Molecule: unclassified non-coding RNA, 343 nt
Filed under: Hevea brasiliensis (rubber tree)
Lineage: Eukaryota; Viridiplantae; Streptophyta; Magnoliopsida; Malpighiales; Euphorbiaceae
Source: RNAcentral
UUGCACGAGUAAGAGCAACGUUCAUUCGCCGUAUAUCUGCAACAAACCCAACUCCAUGACCUGAGGCACGCACACAUGACAUUAUAAUAACAUCACGCUCUUGACCCUGGAAAGCAUCAACAGUAUUUAUGUAAAUGUCCUUUCCUUCUUCAGAAUUUAAAACAUCCCCGAACUCCCUUUGGAGGCAUUUAAGUUGCAGCUUGUAUGGAGUGAUUAUACCUACAGUGACCUUCCCAACACCAAGAGAUUUACAAGUUUUUUGAAGAUGCUCAUACAAACGAAGACAGAACUGUGCUUCAUGUGUAUUCUGAUAUGAAACGGAUCCACCUCUAUGUGAUUCCCG